UGCCAGCCGCCGCGGUAAUACGGAGGGUGCAAGCGUUGUUCGGAAUUACUGGGCGUAAAGCGCGCGUAGGCGGCUAUUUAAGUCAGAUGUGAAAGUCCACGGCUCAACCGUGGAAGUGCAUUUGAAACUGGCAGACUUGAGUACUGGAGGGGGUAGUGGAAUUCCCGGUGUAGAGGUGAAAUUCGUAGAUAUCGGGAGGAAUACCGGUGGCGAAGGCGACUACCUGGCCAGAUACUGACACUGAGGUGCGAAAGUGUGGGUAGCGAACAGGAUUAGAUA
This 279-nucleotide ribosomal RNA is filed under the name uncultured bacterium. RNAcentral's name for it is "partial 16S ribosomal RNA". It matches the Rfam family "Bacterial small subunit ribosomal RNA", at positions 506 to 784 of the family's 1533-position model. The record is from RNAcentral.